AACGAACGCUGGCGGCAGGCUUAACACAUGCAAGUCGAACGCCCUCUUCGGAGGGAGUGGCAGACGGGUGAGUAACGCGUGGGAACCUACCUAUCAGUACGGAACAACUCAGGGAAACUUGUGCUAAUACCGUAUACGUCCUUCGGGAGAAAGAUUUAUCGCUGAUAGAUGGGCCCGCGUUAGAUUAGCUAGUUGGUGAGGUAAUGGCUCACCAAGGCGACGAUCUAUAGCUGGUCUGAGAGGAUGAUCAGCCACACUGGAACUGAGACACGGUCCAGACUCCUACGGGAGGCAGCAGUGGGAAUAUUGGACAAUGGGCGCAAGCCUGAUCCAGCCAUGCCGCGUGAGUGAUGAAGGCCCUAGGGUUGUAAAGCUCUUUCAACGGUGAAGAUAAUGACGGUAGCCGUAGAAGAAGCCCCGGCUAAC
RNAcentral lists this ribosomal RNA (426 nucleotides) under uncultured bacterium. RNAcentral's name for it is "bacterial SSU rRNA". It matches the Rfam family "Bacterial small subunit ribosomal RNA", at positions 29 to 501 of the family's 1533-position model. The record is from RNAcentral.